Molecule: ribosomal RNA, 367 nt
Filed under: uncultured organism
Description: bacterial LSU rRNA
Rfam family: Bacterial large subunit ribosomal RNA
Source: RNAcentral
CUUUACUGCAGCCUGGAAUUGUGUUCGGGCUUCGCUUGCGCAGGAUAGGUGGGAGGCACAGAAGUUCCCCUUGUGGGGGGAAUCGAGCCAACGGUGAGAUACCACUCUAGCGAGGCUAGAAUUCUAACCCUUGCCCGUCAGCCGGGAAGGAGACAGUUUCAGGGGGGCAGUUUGACUGGGGCGGUCGCCUCCUAAAAGGUAACGGAGGCGCGCAAAGGUGUUCUCAGGCUGGUUGGAAAUCAGCCGUAGAGUGUAAAGGCAGAAGGGAGCUUGACUGCAAGACCUACAAGUCGAGCAGGGUGGAAACACGGUCUUAGUGAUCCGACGGUGCCGCAUGGAAGGGCCGUCGCUCAACGGAUAAAAGUUA